RNAcentral lists this ribosomal RNA (754 nucleotides) under uncultured bacterium. Its description in RNAcentral is "bacterial SSU rRNA". It matches the Rfam family "Bacterial small subunit ribosomal RNA", at positions 1 to 779 of the family's 1533-position model. The record is from RNAcentral.
GCCCUUGAGUUUGAUCCUGGCUCAGAACGAACGCUGGCGGCAGGCCUAACACAUGCAAGUCGAACGAAGUCUUCGGACUUAGUGGCAGACGGGUGAGUAACGCGUGGGAACCUACCUGGAGGUUCGGAAUAACUCGGGGAAACUCGGGCUGAUACCGGAUACGCCCUUACGGGGAAAGAUUUAUCGCCUUUAGAUGGGCCCGCGUUGGAUUAGCUUGUUGGUGAGGUAAAAGCUCACCAAGGCGACGAUCCAUAGCUGGUCUGAGAGGAUGAUCAGCCACACUGGGACUGAGACACGGCCCAGACUCCUACGGGAGGCAGCAGUGAGGAAUAUUCGGCAAUGGGCGCAAGCCUGACCGAGCCAUGCCGCGUGAGUGAAGAAGGCCCUAGGGUUGUAAAAGCUCUUUCACCGAUGAAGAUAAUGACGGUAGUCGGAGAAGAAGCCCCGGUUAACUUCGUGCCAGCAGCCGGGUAAUACGGAAGGGGGCUAGCGUUGUUCGGAAUUACUGGGCGUAAAGGGGCACAGUAGGCGGAUUGUUAGGUCAGGGGUGAAAUCCCCGGGGGCUCAAACCCCCGGGAAACUUGCUUCUGAUUACUGGGCAAUCUUCGAAGUUCGAGAGAGGUGAGUGGAAAUUCCCGAGUUGUAAAGGUGGAAAAUUCGUAGAUAUUCCGGAGGGAACACCCAGUGGGAAAGGCGGGUCACUGGGUCCGAACUGAACGCUUGAAGGUGCGAAAGCGUGGGAGCAACCAGGGUU